AGAUAAUGAAUUUGAAAUGUAUCUAUUCAUAUGAUCACAAACUUAAGCAAUCCAAUCAGAAUACAAAGGUGUAAAUGGAGUGAUACAGUGGGUUAAAGACAAAAAAGUAGCCUGUUAGAGCCCCAGGGUAACCGCCAUCGCUUCCUCUCAACAUUUCGUAAAGUUGAAAACUAGUUGCCCAGAUGCCGUUUAUCCAAAUAUCUGCCUACGGCAUCACUUGUAUUGAUUGUCAUGAUAUGAACUUGAAAGGGAAACUU
This 257-nucleotide unclassified non-coding RNA is filed under the name Hevea brasiliensis (rubber tree). The record is from RNAcentral. Lineage: Eukaryota; Viridiplantae; Streptophyta; Magnoliopsida; Malpighiales; Euphorbiaceae.